This 776-nucleotide ribosomal RNA is filed under the name uncultured Neocallimastigales. RNAcentral describes it as "partial large subunit ribosomal RNA". It matches the Rfam family "Eukaryotic large subunit ribosomal RNA", at positions 24 to 618 of the family's 3401-position model. Lineage: Eukaryota; Fungi; Neocallimastigomycota; Neocallimastigomycetes; Neocallimastigales. The record is from RNAcentral.
UAUCUCUGUAGAGUCUGCAUAUCAAUAAGCGGAGGAAAAGAAACUAACUAGGAUUCCCUCAGUAACGGCGAGUGGAGCGGGAAGAGCUCAAAUUUGAAAUCUUCAAGGUUCUACCUUGACGAAUUGUAGUUUAAAGAAGUGUUUUCUGUUGAAGUUUCGGUAAAAGUUCUUUGGAAUAGGACAUCAUAGAGGGUGAGAAUCCCGUAUUUGACCGUUAUUUUCAGCUGUGUGAUACACUUUCAAAGAGUCGGAUUGUUUGGGAAUGCAGUCCAAAAUGGGUGGUAAAUUUCAUCUAAAGCUAAAUAUUGGCGAGAGACCGAUAGCGAACAAGUACCGUGAGGGAAAGAUGAAAAGAACUUUGAAAAGAGAGUUAAACAGUACGUGAAAUUGUCAAAAGGGAAGCGUUUGACACCAGUGUUGUUUCUACGAAAAUCAAUUUAUGAUGGCUUGAUGCUAAGCUUUAAGACUUUAUCCGCUUGUUGUCUAGUUUCUCUUGUCUUUGUGAAUGCACUUUUCGUGGAACAAGUCAACAUCAAUUUCUUUUGUUGUAAAAGGGGUAAGAGGAAGGUGGCUUGCGCUUCGGCUGCAAGUGUUUAUAGCCUUUUAUCUCUGCAGUCGGAGAGAUUGAGGUCUGCAGCGUGGACUCUUCGGGGUUAGAUACGUCGGUGCUAAGCUAUAGCUUUUCAUAGACAACUUGUUGACUAUGUUUAGUCAUGUGGCUUACCCGCUGGCGCUAUUUUACCUACGCUUAGGAUGUUGAGUCAUCACACAUCUCU